Molecule: microRNA precursor, 123 nt
Filed under: Pelobates cultripes (western spadefoot toad)
Lineage: Eukaryota; Metazoa; Chordata; Amphibia; Anura; Pelobatidae
Source: RNAcentral
AUUACCAAAAAGAGAAUGCACACUAGAAUCACCAAUGAAAGUUAUGCAAAUAUUUAAUGAAUAUUUGUAUAACUUUCAUUGGUGAUUCUAGUGUGCAUUCUUUUUUGGUAAUAUUUAUGUUAA